CCUACGGGUGGCAGCAGUGAGGAAUAUUGGUCAAUGGACGAGAGUCUGAACCAGCCAAGUAGCGUGAAGGAUGACUGUCCUAUGGGUUGUAAACUUCUUUUAUAUGGGAGUAAAAUGUUUCGCGUGUGUGCUUUUGUAUGUACCCUAUGAAUCAAGAUUGGCCAACCCCGUGCCAGCCGCCGCGGUAAGUCGGAGGAUCCGAGCGUUACGCGGAUUUGUUGGGUUGAAAGGGAGCGGAGGUGGAGUGUUAAGUCAGUUGUGAAAGUGUGCGGCGCAACCGUAAAAUGGCAGUUGAAACUGGGAGUCUUGAGUGCAGUAGAGGUGGGCGGAAUUCGUGGUGUAGCGGUGAAAUGCUUAGAUAUCACGAAGAACUCCGAUUGCGAAGGCAGCUCACUGGACUGCAACUGACACUGAGGCUCGAAAGUGUGGGUAUCAAACAGGAUUAGAUACCCUGGUAGUC
RNAcentral lists this ribosomal RNA (460 nucleotides) under uncultured bacterium. RNAcentral describes it as "partial 16S ribosomal RNA". It matches the Rfam family "Bacterial small subunit ribosomal RNA", at positions 338 to 795 of the family's 1533-position model. The record is from RNAcentral.